AGAGGUCAUGAGCUUCCUCUUCUCUGGUCCUCAAAUUAUGUAAAUAGCAUUGGGAAAAUGCUUCUCCCUCGGGGCUGGCUCUGGGAGUCUGUCCUCUUUCUGUGAUUUUUCUCGUCCAGGGAAACACAGGGCAGGCUGUGUGGUUUUGUCCUAAGUAACUAAGAGUUAUUGGGAUGCACACACCAGCAGCCGGAGCCAUAAACAACAUUCGUAAACUGUAGCAGGCAUUGCACUGCCGCUUUGACCAGACGGCCAGACACAAUCUGUUUGCGACUCUUUUCAGGAGUGGAAUUUCCAGGAAACUUUGGCGACCACAUCUCAAGACUUCUGAGCUUGCUCGCCACUCAGGAGAGCCUAGAGAUGGGGAAGGGGAGCUGCUGUAGGGCAGCCUUGAUGGAUAGUGCAUUCAGCGACUCCUCACGGUGUGAGUAUCCUUACCCUCCAAAGGGCACUGUCUAUGAGACCUGCAUUUGCGGACCCGAGGCUAACCCAAUGACUCUUCCUUAUGCCCUCCCUUCUCUUCCAUGAUUUUUGUUGUCUUUUCCUGGGGUGUCCUGUGGCCAUUUUCUUGUUACUCUCCUUCAGAGUACACAGAGGGAGAUCUUGGCCAAUCAUUUGUUUUGGAAGCUUGUCACUGUGUGGCUGGGUUGCCUGGCACUUCAUGUUUGUUGGGGAUGAGAGUUAGGGAGUGUUGUGUCAAUAGACUGUAGGGACAGACAUGUGUUGGAUUAUCCUGGGCUGUGUCCUAAAGGUCACUUGGGAGUGCGUAAGAAAUCCCAGCAACAAGAAGUGGGGUACACAUACCUGGUGGCCAAAGAAGAAAUGAUGGACAAGCCUCCAAACAGAGUCGCCCUAACUCGUACCCAAAAACCGUCACUGAGGAUAUUAUCCAGAAUCCCAAGAUACCAGGAGCCAGCUUUAGGCGGCACUAAGGAUCUUAUGUGACGAGGUGGCUGAUGUUGGAAAAAGGAUAGAUACCCUGUGAAGAUCUACUCUACUGAGUCAAUCAUCCACAGUUCCGAGAGGAGCCAUCCCCACUCCUUAACUUGAAUGAACAUUCAAGAAUUACCUGCUGGUGCACGUGUGUCUAAUCUAGGACUCAAUGAGACAAUGAUUCUCAGGCCACAGUAAGACUCAAUUGAGCCUAAGAGACUAGAGUUGGUAGCCUGGAGGAAGCUGACCGGCGAAGCCUCCUGAGGAUGGAGAGCAAGAGAUGCCCCUGGAAAGAACACAUCCAGCUGUCAGACGCUAUCUGAAUCCUAGGAAUGCGUUCCUUGCUUCUGAUUCCAGCACCACUAAGCUGACAUUGUUGCCCUCUGGGCAGCUUUUCAAAGGCAGGGGUCACACCAUGAGCUUGGUUUGGUUAUCCGUCUAAAAGUUAUAUCUUCCAUUCUGGAAACACUAACUGACGGAUGUUAUUGCUUGAGACAGCAAUCAGGCGCGGAGAUCAUUUGCAUAAUGGAGUGAAGUGUCGAACUGUGUUUUCUAGUCUACACAACUUGCAAGGCAAAUGCAUUAAACUCAGCCAUUGUGCCUCUGUUACCAAAA
This is a long non-coding RNA of Rattus norvegicus (Norway rat), 1548 nucleotides long. RefSeq lists it as uncharacterized. Lineage: Eukaryota; Metazoa; Chordata; Mammalia; Rodentia; Muridae. The record is from RefSeq and is a predicted model, not a curated record.